RNAcentral lists this ribosomal RNA (450 nucleotides) under uncultured bacterium. Its description in RNAcentral is "bacterial SSU rRNA". It matches the Rfam family "Bacterial small subunit ribosomal RNA", at positions 29 to 523 of the family's 1533-position model. The record is from RNAcentral.
AACGAACGCUGGCGGCAUGCCUAACACAUGCAAGUCGAACGAGACCUUCGGGUCUAGUGGCGCACGGGUGCGUAACGCGUGGGAAUCUGCCCUUGGGUUCGGAAUAACAGUUAGAAAUGACUGCUAAUACCGGAUGAUGUCUUCGGACCAAAGAUUUAUCGCCCAAGGAUGAGCCCGCGUAAGAUUAGCUAGUUGGUGAGGUAAUGGCUCACCAAGGCGACGACUUUUAGCUGGUCUGAGAGGAUGAUCAGCCACACUGGGACUGAGACACGGCCCAGACUCCUACGGGAGGCAGCAGUGGGGAAUAUUGGACAAUGGGCGAAAGCCUGAUCCAGCAAUGCCGCGUGAGUGAUGAAGGCCUUAGGGUUGUAAAGCUCUCUUACCAGGGGAUGAUAAUGACAGUACCUGGAGAAUAAGCUCCGGCUAACUCCGUGCCAGCCGCCGCCGUAA